AUGAGGUAUGCUUCUCAGCUCCUGGGCUGCUUGUGUUCUGGAUCCCUGGUAAGGAGAAAGAAAGAUGAAGAAGGAGAUUGUGGGGUGGUCAGUGGAGAUAUUGUGAUGACCCAGCCUGCACUCUCCAGUCCUGUUACUCUUGGAGAGUCAGCUUCCAUCUCCUGCAGGUCCAGUAAGAGUCUCUUAUAUAGUGAUGGCAACACUUACUUGUAUUGGUACCUGCAGAGACCAGGCCAGUCUCCUCAGCUCCUGAUCUAUUGGAUGUCCAACCUUGCCUCAGGAGUCCCAAGCAGGUUCAGUGGCAGUGGGUCAGGAACAGAUUUCACACUGAAAAUAAGUCGAGUGGAGGCUGAGGAUGUGGGUGUUUAUUACUGUCAGCAACAUCUAGAAUCUCCUCCCAUAGUAACAGAGCCCUAUACAAAAACCUCCCUGCUUGAAGUGAUGAAGAUGUCUCAUAAGUUCCUUGUUUUGGGUGCAACAUGGUACAGUCAACAUGGAUGA
Peromyscus leucopus (white-footed mouse) is the source of this 501-nucleotide non-coding RNA. NCBI's taxonomy places the organism in Eukaryota, Metazoa, Chordata, Mammalia, Rodentia, Cricetidae. The record is from the annotation of a RefSeq genome assembly.